CCCCUAGAUGUUCUGGGCCGCACGCGCGCUACACUGAACAGUUCAACAAGUCUUAACCUUGGCCGAUAGGUCUGGGUAAUCUUUGAACGCUGUUCGUGAUUGGGAUAGACCUUUGCAAUUAUGGGUCUUCAACGAGGAAUUCCUAGUAAACGCAAGUCAUCAGCUUGCAUUGAUUACGUCCCUGCCCUUUGUACACACCGCCCGUCGCACCUACUGAUUGAAUGGUCCGGUGAAAUCUCGGGACGGCGGCUUGGUCGCUUGCGUCCGACUGCUGAAACUUGAUUAAACCAUAUCAUUUAGAGGAAGGUGAAGUCGUAACA
RNAcentral lists this ribosomal RNA (320 nucleotides) under uncultured eukaryote. RNAcentral describes it as "partial 18S ribosomal RNA". It matches the Rfam family "Eukaryotic small subunit ribosomal RNA", at positions 1470 to 1796 of the family's 1831-position model. The record is from RNAcentral.